This 21-nucleotide transfer RNA is filed under the name Contracaecum osculatum. RNAcentral's name for it is "partial tRNA-His". The record is from RNAcentral. Lineage: Eukaryota; Metazoa; Nematoda; Chromadorea; Rhabditida; Anisakidae.
AGCUGUUUAGUUUAUUAUUGA